Molecule: ribosomal RNA, 626 nt
Filed under: Escherichia coli
Lineage: Bacteria; Pseudomonadati; Pseudomonadota; Gammaproteobacteria; Enterobacterales; Enterobacteriaceae
Description: partial 23S ribosomal RNA
Rfam family: Bacterial large subunit ribosomal RNA
Source: RNAcentral
UUGGCUAAUCCUGGUCGGACAUCAGGAGGUUAGUGCAAUGGCAUAAGCCAGCUUGACUGCGAGCGUGACGGCGCGAGCAGGUGCGAAAGCAGGUCAUAGUGAUCCGGUGGUUCUGAAUGGAAGGGCCAUCGCUCAACGGAUAAAAGGUACUCCGGGGAUAACAGGCUGAUACCGCCCAAGAGUUCAUAUCGACGGCGGUGUUUGGCACCUCGAUGUCGGCUCAUCACAUCCUGGGGCUGAAGUAGGUCCCAAGGGUAUGGCUGUUCGCCAUUUAAAGUGGUACGCGAGCUGGGUUUAGAACGUCGUGAGACAGUUCGGUCCCUAUCUGCCGUGGGCGCUGGAGAACUGAGGGGGGCUGCUCCUAGUACGAGAGGACCGGAGUGGACGCAUCACUGGUGUUCGGGUUGUCAUGCCAAUGGCACUGCCCGGUAGCUAAAUGCGGAAGAGAUAAGUGCUGAAAGCAUCUAAGCACGAAACUUGCCCCGAGAUGAGUUCUCCCUGACUCCUUGAGAGUCCUGAAGGAACGUUGAAGACGACGACGUUGAUAGGCCGGGUGUGUAAGCGCAGCGAUGCGUUGAGCUAACCGGUACUAAUGAACCGUGAGGCUUAACCUUACAACGCCGAAG